This 456-nucleotide ribosomal RNA is filed under the name uncultured bacterium. Its description in RNAcentral is "bacterial SSU rRNA". It matches the Rfam family "Bacterial small subunit ribosomal RNA", at positions 335 to 783 of the family's 1533-position model. The record is from RNAcentral.
ACUCCUACGGGAGGCAGCAGUGGGGAAUAUUGCACAAUGGGCGCAAGCCUGAUGCAGCCAUGCCGCGUGUGUGAAGAAGGCCUUCGGGUUGUAAAGCACUUUCAGUCGUGAGGAAGGUAGUGUAGUUAAUAGCUGCAUUAUUUGACGUUAGCGACAGAAGAAGCACCGGCUAACUCCGUGCCAGCAGCCGCGGUAAUACGGAGGGUGCGAGCGUUAAUCGGAAUUACUGGGCGUAAAGCGCAUGCAGGUGGUUUGUUAAGUCAGAUGUGAAAGCCCGGGGCUCAACCUCGGAAUAGCAUUUGAAACUGGCAGACUAGAGUACUGUAGAGGGGGGUAGAAUUUCAGGUGUAGCGGUGAAAUGCGUAGAGAUCUGAAGGAAUACCGGUGGCGAAGGCGGCCCCCUGGACAGAUACUGACACUCAGAUGCGAAAGCGUGGGGAGCAAACAGGAUUAGAU